GACGAACGCUGGCGGCGUGCCUAAUACAUGCAAGUCGAACGCUGAAGGAGGAGCUUGCUUCUCUGGAUGAGUUGCGAACGGGUGAGUAACGCGUAGGUAACCUGCCUGGUAGCGGGGGAUAACUAUUGGAAACGAUAGCUAAUACCGCAUAAUAGUAGAUGUUGCAUGACAUUUGCUUAAAAGGUGCAAUUGCAUCACUACCAGAUGGACCUGCGUUGUAUUAGCUAGUUGGUGAGGUAACGGCUCACCAAGGCAACGAUACAUAGCCGACCUGAGAGGGUGAUCGGCCACACUGGGACUGAGACACGGCCCAGACUCCUACGGGAGGCAGCAGUAGGGAAUCUUCGGCAAUGGACGGAAGUCUGACCGAGCAACGCCGCGUGAGUGAAGAAGGUUUUCGGAUCGUAAAGCUCUGUUGUAAGAGAAGAACGAGUGUGAGAGUGGAAAGUUCACACUGUGACGGUAUCUUACCAGAAAGGGACGGCGAACUACGG
RNAcentral lists this ribosomal RNA (494 nucleotides) under uncultured bacterium. RNAcentral's name for it is "partial 16S ribosomal RNA". It matches the Rfam family "Bacterial small subunit ribosomal RNA", at positions 28 to 506 of the family's 1533-position model. The record is from RNAcentral.